Molecule: long non-coding RNA, 1518 nt
Filed under: Macaca fascicularis (crab-eating macaque)
Lineage: Eukaryota; Metazoa; Chordata; Mammalia; Primates; Cercopithecidae
Description: lncRNA (ENSMFAG00000049423.1)
Source: RNAcentral
UAUGCAACAAGCCCUUCCUUAGUCUGUGUGGUCUGAGAAAAAGGCUUUUGAUGUUAUGAGGCAGCAGAGACUUGCAGGAGGAGGCUAGGGUACAACCCUUGCCAUCAGUUCUCCUAGGCUUCCACCUGCACUGCCUCUCAGGUGGCUGGGGAUUGGGCCCUGAGAGAAAAAGGGUGUGGAGGAAGUGCUAUCUAUCUCUGCACCUCCACCCUGUUUCCCUGUCACCUUCCCAAGCUGAGGACCACCCCGCCCUCGCCCCCCAACAAUCCAUGAGAGAUGGCUGCUGGGGACGGAGUGAUGCUCUUUCUUGCUGUGACCUCCUUAUCCCAACUCCUGCUGACCUUGGAGACCUGAAGAGUUACUUUCCUUACAAUCCUGAACUUCCAACUCCAAACCUAACCCUGCAUGCAGGUCACUGUCUUCGUGGAAAUCUACAGGGUGAGCUCCCCAGUCUUGUCCACCAUGCUUGUGUGUCUGAUAGGGCUUCAUGGCCUGGAUCUUGGCUACUCAGACUAGCAUCUGCCUGAGACCCUGGCAGCGCAACAGCAAUAACUACCCUUUGUAGAGCCCAAAUUCUGUAUUAAGCACUUAAUGUAAUUAAGUCAUUUAAUCAUCACAAAAGAAGAUAGAGAUUACAAUGAUUAUCCCAUUUUACAACUGAGAUAACUGAGGCACAGAGAAAUUAAGUAGCAUGCCCAAGGUCACCAUGAGUAAGUGGCACAGCUUGGAUUCAAAUCCAGCAGUCUGAUUCCAGAGCCCACAGUCCUGAGGCCUCUGCUAUGCUGCCUUCACUCUCCCAUGCUCUUGUGAUGUUUGUUGGGCUAAUUGAGACAGGGCCCAGUGUAGUGGAAGUGGGGAAGGUGGCUACACUGAAAGUUAAACACCAGAUCCCCCUUUGGGGUCCCCCAGGUCAGAGACAGUGAGUGGGAGUUGAGCAGGGUGACACUCCGUAUCUAGGAAGGGGGAAACAUGGCCUUCACCUUCUCCAAUUCCGGACCUUUGUUUUCUGCAGUGGGAGGCCCUGCAGCUAGACAGCCCUUCCCCGUUGAGAAGAGGGGAGGCAAGGGAAAGGCUGAAAAAUCCGCCUAGAAGCCCAAGUGAGCAGAGUCGGAGCUAGGACCCGAAGAGGCCGAUAGAUGGCGCUCAUGGCCCAACACAGCUCCAGCAGCCCGAGGAAACCAAAGGAAAACAAGUGAGCAGGUUAACCCCUUCCCUCCUGGGCUCAGGACAGAGUUGCUGGCUGGUGGGUAUGCAGGGAGCACUGCCCCAGGCCCGGUGCCUCAACUCUCUAGGCUCUUACCCAGGCGAUAAUCUGGGUCAUCUUCUGUUCCUGCCCAACAAGGCUUUACCCAUAAAUCAUGGUCAGCAGCCUCCUGAAGACUUCCCAGAAGACAUGAAGACUAAUAAAUGGAAGACACUGGUUGGGAGAGCUGCACCCAAGCCCAUGUUUCGUCUCUUGGGCUCUAUCUCUUGAAAGCCUCAGGGUCUCUGUUUCUAAGCACCCCUACUUCAGGAGAG